This 517-nucleotide ribosomal RNA is filed under the name uncultured Bacteroidota bacterium. Its description in RNAcentral is "bacterial SSU rRNA". It matches the Rfam family "Bacterial small subunit ribosomal RNA", at positions 8 to 522 of the family's 1533-position model. The record is from RNAcentral. Lineage: Bacteria; Pseudomonadati; Bacteroidota.
AGAGUUUGAUCAUGGCUCAGGAUGAACGCUAGCGGCAGGCCUAAUACAUGCAAGUCGAGGGGCAACAGGUGUAGCAAUACAUGCUGGCGACCGGCGCACGGGUGCGUAACACGUAUGUAAUCUACCCAUUACUGGAAGAUAGCCCGGAGAAAUUCGGAUUAAUACUCCAUAACACUAUAACAUGGCAUCAUGAAGUAGUUAAAGAUUUAUCGGUAAUGGAAGAGCAUGCGGCUGAUUAGCUAGUUGGUGAGGUAACGGCUCACCAAGGCAACGAUCAGUAGGGGACCUGAGAGGGUGAUCCCCCACACUGGUACUGAGAUACGGACCAGACUCCUACGGGAGGCAGCAGUAGGGAAUAUUGGGCAAUGGAGGCAACUCUGACCCAGCCAUGCCGCGUGCAGGAAGACGGCCUUCUGGGUUGUAAACUGCUUUUGAUCGGGAACAAAGAGCCCUGCGAGGGAAGUUGAGUGUACCGAUAGAAUAAGCACCGGCUAACUCCGUGCCAGCAGCCGCGGUA